Panicum hallii is the source of this 1167-nucleotide long non-coding RNA. RefSeq lists it as uncharacterized. NCBI's taxonomy places the organism in Eukaryota, Viridiplantae, Streptophyta, Magnoliopsida, Poales, Poaceae. The record is from RefSeq and is a predicted model, not a curated record. The transcript has 3 exons.
GGCCACAGGCCGGGGCGCCAGGCGGAGCGCCGCGUCGUCUUCCGCGGGGGCAGGAGGGUAAUAUCAACGCGCCGCGCUCGCGCGGGAAAUCCGGAGGGGGCGGGUGGUACUUGUGUAUCACCCAGCUCUGCUUCGUUUCAGCGCUGCACUGCCCCUGCCCCGCCCUGCCCCUGCCCCGCCCUGCCCCCCUUUUUCCCCUCGCCCGCGGGGCCUUGGGGCCGUGAGGGGUUAGGGUUUCGUGCUCGCCUCGCCUAGCUUCGGGGGCGCCGUCGCUGUCCGCUCAGAUGCUGUGCAGCCUGCUGUUGGGACGCGCCUCUCGUCCGCUUCUUAGCUAGCGCGGCGUCGUCGUCAUCGUCUGGGAUCGAUCUGAGCGCCGCCCUGUCGCCCCGCGCUUCGAUCAAGUUCGGCGCCUCGUGAUCUCCGGCCCGCUCGGCUCGAUCGCGCUCCCCUGAUGCGUGAGAUUUGAAGGUUCUUACAUUGAUAAUCAUGCAGUUCUCUGAUGCUGCAUCCUGGAUCAUUUCCAUUGUCCCUCUUGGAUUGCUGAAGGGCAAAGCCAUGGAGAGUGGAACCGCUGCUGGUCAUGUUAGGGAAAGGAAACACAAGCGCAUGGAAGAAUUCCUCGGUUCAACGUUCCCUAUCCUUGUACUUGCAGCUCUCCUCAUGGGCUUGGAGAAGAUAACCUGAGGACCCCCCUAACUCAGACCAAGUCCCAGCGCAGCGGCCCCAUCGUAAGAGGGGUUGUUUCGUCUGCACGUGCCCAUCAACAACUCCUGAAACUAUUCUCCACACUAACACUGAUGAACUCAUCCGGGUGGUUCUCCAUCAAGUUGAGUUCUAGUGAUAGCUAACUAUAUAUAGUGCGUAUUCCCACCUCCAGCUUCUCCCCAUUUCCUCAAGCUUGAUAGCGCGCUUUAUUUUGUUCUGCUCGGCCUCUAAGGUGAGCUACUGCCCCAAGUUUAUGCUUGUGUGCUCCAGAUGACUGUGGAAGCGUUGUGCCAUGUGCUUUUGGUGCGAAUGUACUGUAGUUGUAGGGUAGACCAAUUUGUAGACUGGAGACCGGUGGACUCGAUGCUUAUUAAAUCCGUGAUGUAACGUAAUCCUAAAUCACCGUGUCACUAAUUAUUCAAUACGGUUAUGAUGGAAUGGCAUUUUGUUUAUUUGAGAGGC